This 253-nucleotide ribosomal RNA is filed under the name uncultured bacterium. RNAcentral's name for it is "partial 16S ribosomal RNA". It matches the Rfam family "Bacterial small subunit ribosomal RNA", at positions 524 to 776 of the family's 1533-position model. The record is from RNAcentral.
UACGAAGGGGGCUAGCGUUGUUCGGAAUUACUGGGCGUAAAGGGCGCGUAGGCGGUGUGUCAAGUCAGGCGUGAAAGCCCCGGGCUCAACCUGGGAACCGCGCUUGAGACUGGCACGCUAGAGUUCGGGAGAGGAUGGUGGAAUUCCCAGUGUAGAGGUGAAAUUCGUAGAUAUUGGGAAGAACACCGGUGGCGAAGGCGGCAUCCUGGACCGACACUGACGCUGAGGCGCGAAAGCUAGGGUAGCAAACGGG